This is a long non-coding RNA of Oryzias latipes (Japanese medaka), 1463 nucleotides long. RefSeq lists it as uncharacterized. Lineage: Eukaryota; Metazoa; Chordata; Actinopteri; Beloniformes; Adrianichthyidae. The record is from RefSeq and is a predicted model, not a curated record.
GAGAGAGAGCGAGAUGGACACGGAAAGAUAGUAAGUCUUCAGAGUUUGAUGAGACAAUGAUGACAGGUCUCGAAAGUAGUUGUUGAAUUCAAAGUCUUCUGUCUUUCAUUCAUUUGAAGUGAUCAUUUCUGUGUAUAUUUAUAAAUACAUAUAUUUUUGUGAUGCUUCUGUAUUCCUUCCUGUUUAUUUUGGCAUGAGUGUCAAACUGCAGGCCUCAAGGUCUGGAGUCUAUGGAGGACCUGCAGUGGGAGUAAAAAGGGUUUAAAAGGGUUAAAAAGGUUCACAGAUGGAGAACCAGGGAGUUUCCUUCUCAAGGUGGCUGGAUCUCCUUUGGAAAGAGGCAGCAAAAGUGGAGCCUCCGCUUCUCCACACCAUGAGCAAAUGUGGUGACAUUUGGAAAUUCCACCAGGAUGGUCCCCAGGAGAGCUUACAAGGAGCUCUGAGUCCAAGCGGGAGCGGCCAUCAGCUUGGAGGAGGCCCGGGACGGGACAGUCUGGUCAUCGUAAUCCCACAACAGGCAGGACACACCCAACAAGAAACCUUACUUCCAUCCGGAUAAACCGCCAUCAGGACUGACCAGCUGAACCUGAUUGGACCUCAUACAUGUUGUUCUUCGGCGAUCUUCUAACAUUUUCUCAUGAACAAUCUGAGGCCUGCAGCCGCUGAGAUGAAGCUCCGCUCCUGCUCCCGUCCAGAUGCUGCUGGAACGUCCGGAAGCGUCCACUCCACCUGCAGAAGGGAAUUCAGAGUUUGAGUUUAGACGAGCACUUCUCUCAGGUGUUUCUCUGACAGGUAAAGACUGAGCUGAUGGAAAGUUUUCAUGAGUCAGAACGGAAAAAUCAGCAGGGCCUGCGCUGCCAUCUGAGCUAAAACUGGUUUAGUUUUCUUACAGUAAGGAUCCCCUUCUGUGGAGGAUUCACCUGACUGAUAGCUCACAGCUGUGCUUUAAUUUCUAAUGUCUUUUGAGAGCUCCACUGUAAUUAGUAGAGGUUCCUCUGGUACACACGCUUUUAAAAAUGAAAGUUUUAAUGUUUAGUCUCUGGAUUGUCCCUUGUCUAUCUUUGGGGUGGCCCCUGAUGUGACUGCGGUCUGCUUCAGUGACGGCUGCUGUCGAGGAAGACAGAGCUGCAGUUGUCUCUUCUUCAAACAUGAAGGCAAGGAGGGAAACAUUUAGAGGAGAUUUUGUUCCUUUUAUAAUAAUAUUUGUAUAUUUUUUUUCAAAUUCUUGUCUUUCAAUUCAUUUGCUGAAACCAUCAGCUCUGAACAUCGCGUUCUCCGUGGGGCUCUCCUGCCCCCCCAUGGCUGUAAGUGGGAGUGAAGGACUUCCUGCAGAUAAUAAACCAGACAACCAAGUUCUGUUUUUUAUUUACUAUUUCUUUAUUUACUGUCAUUCACUUCUGUUGCCAUGACAGCAACUUCUCUGACUUGUUGUUUGCAGAAAGGGGCUGACGUUGGGAUGUUCA